UUACAUUUGAGUGAGUGGCGAACUGGUGAGUAACACGUGGGAAACCUGCCCAGAAGCGGGGGAUAACACCUGGAAACAGAUGCUAAUACCGCAUAACAACUUGGACCGCAUGGUCCGAGUUGAAAGAUGGCUUCGGCUAUCACUUUGGAUGGUCCCGCGGCGUAUUAGCUAGAUGGUGGGUAACGGCUCACCAUGGCAAUGAUACGUAGCCGACCUGAGAGGGUAAUCGGCCACAUUGGGACUGAGACACGGCCCAAACUCCUACGGGAGGCAGCAGUAGGGAAUCUUCCACAAUGGACGAAAGUCUGAUGGAGCAACGCCGCGUGAGUGAAGAAGGGUUUCGGCUCGUAAAACUCUGUUGUUAAAGAAGAACAUAUCUGAGAGUAACUGUUCAGGUAUUGACGGUAUUUAACCAGAAAGCCACGGCUAACUACUGCCAGCAGCCGCGGUAAUACGUAGGUGGCAAGCGUUGUCCGGAUUUAUUGGCGUAAAGCGAGCGCAGCGGUUUUUUAAGUCUGAUGUGAAAGCCUUC
This 532-nucleotide ribosomal RNA is filed under the name Lactiplantibacillus plantarum. RNAcentral describes it as "bacterial SSU rRNA". It matches the Rfam family "Bacterial small subunit ribosomal RNA", at positions 80 to 605 of the family's 1533-position model. Lineage: Bacteria; Bacillati; Bacillota; Bacilli; Lactobacillales; Lactobacillaceae. The record is from RNAcentral.